Molecule: ribosomal RNA, 253 nt
Filed under: uncultured bacterium
Lineage: Bacteria
Description: partial 16S ribosomal RNA
Rfam family: Bacterial small subunit ribosomal RNA
Source: RNAcentral
UACAGAGGUCUCAAGCGUUGUUCGGAUUCAUUGGGCGUAAAGGGUGUGUAGGCGGCGCCGUAAGUCGGGUGUGAAAUUUUGGAGCUUAACUCCGAAACUGCAUUCGAUACUGCGGUGCUUGAGGACUGGAGAGGAGACUGGAAUUCAUGGUGUAGCAGUGAAAUGCGUAGAGAUCAUGAGGAAGACCAGUGGCGAAGGCGGGUCUCUGGACAGUUACUGACACUGAGGCACGAAGGCCAGGGGAGCAAACGGG